RNAcentral lists this ribosomal RNA (1966 nucleotides) under Streptococcus pneumoniae. RNAcentral describes it as "partial 23S ribosomal RNA". It matches the Rfam family "Bacterial large subunit ribosomal RNA", at positions 1 to 1990 of the family's 2925-position model. The record is from RNAcentral. Lineage: Bacteria; Bacillati; Bacillota; Bacilli; Lactobacillales; Streptococcaceae.
GGUUAAGUUAAUAAGGGCGCACGGUGGAUGCCUUGGCACUAGGAGCCGACGAAGGACGUGACAAACGACGAUAUGCCUUGGGUAGCUGUAAGUAAGCGAUGAUCCAGGGAUUUCCGAAUGGGGGAACCCAACAGGUAGUACCUGUUACCCACAUCUGUUAAGGAUGUGAGGAGGAAGACGCAGUGAACUGAAACAUCUAAGUAGCUGCAGGAAGAGAAAGCAAAAGCGAUUGCCUUAGUAGCGGCGAGCGAAACGGCAGAAGGGCAAACCGAAGAGUUUACUCUUCGGGGUUGUAGGACUGCAAUGUGGACUCAAAGAUUAUAGAAGAAUGAUUUGGGAAGAUCAGCCAAAGAGAGUAAUAGCCUCGUAUUUAAAAUAGUCUUUGUACCUAGCAGUAUCCUGAGUACGGCGGGACACGUGAAAUCCCGUCGGAAUCUGGGAGGACCAUCUCCCAACCCUAAAUACUCCCUAGUGACCGAUAGUGAACCAGUACCGUGAGGGAAAGGUGAAAAGCACCCCGGGAGGGGAGUGAAAUAGAACCUGAAACCGUGUGCCUACAACAAGUUCGAGCCCGUUAAUGGGUGAGAGCGUGCCUUUUGUAGAAUGAACCGGCGAGUUACGUUAUGAUGCGAGGUUAAGUUGAAGAGACGGAGCCGUAGGGAAACCGAGUCUGAAUAGGGCGCCUUAGUAUCAUGACGUAGACCCGAAACCAUGUGACCUACCCAUGAGCAGGUUGAAGGUGCGGUAAGACGCACUGGAGGACCGAACCAGGGCACGUUGAAAAGUGCUUGGAUGACUUGUGGGUAGCGGAGAAAUUCCAAACGAACUUGGAGAUAGCUGGUUCUCUCCGAAAUAGCUUUAGGGCUAGCGUCGACAUUAGAGAUUCUUGGAGGUAGAGCACUGUUUGGGUGAGGGGUCCAUCCCGGAUUACCAAUCUCAGAUAAACUCCGAAUGCCAAUGAAUUAUGGUCGGCAGUCAGACUGCGAGUGCUAAGAUCCGUAGUCGAAAGGGAAACAGCCCAGACCACCAGCUAAGGUCCCAAAAUAAUUGUUAAGUGGAAAAGGAUGUGGGGUUGCACAGACAACUAGGAUGUUAGCUUAGAAGCAGCUAUUCAUUCAAAGAGUGCGUAAUAGCUCACUAGUCGAGUGACCCUGCGCCGAAAAUGUACCGGGGCUAAAACAAUUUACCGAAGCUGUGGAUACCUUUAUAGGUAUGGUAGGAGAGCGUUCUAUGUGUGAUGAAGGUAUACCGUGAGGAGUGCUGGAACGCAUAGAAGUGAGAAUGCCGGUAUGAGUAGCGAAAGACAGGUGAGAAUCCUGUCCACCGUAAGACUAAGGUUUCCAGGGGAAGGCUCGUCCGCCCUGGGUUAGUCGGGACCUAAGGAGAGACCGAAAGGUGUAUCCGAUGGACAACAGGUUGAUAUUCCUGUACUAGAGUAUGUAGUGAUGGAGGGACGCAGUAGGCUAACUAAAGCAGACGAUUGGAAGAGUCUGUCUAAGCAGUGAGGUGUGAAUUGAGUCAAAUGCUUAAUUCUAUAACAUUGAGCUGUGAUGGGGAGCGAAGUUUAGUAGCGAAGUUAGUGAUGUCACACUGCCAAGAAAAGCUUCUAGCGUUUAAACAUACUCUACCCGUACCGCAAACCGACACAGGUAGUCGAGGCGAGUAGCCUCAGGUGAGCGAGAGAACUCUCGUUAAGGAACUCGGCAAAAUGACCCCGUAACUUCGGGAGAAGGGGUGCUGACUUAAAGUCAGCCGCAGUGAAUAGGCCCAAGCAACUGUUUAUCAAAAACACAGCUCUCUGCUAAAUCGUAAGAUGAUGUAUAGGGGGUGACGCCUGCCCGGUGCUGGAAGGUUAAGAGGAGUGCUUAGCGUAAGCGAAGGUAUGAAUUGAAGCCCCAGUAAACGGCGGCCGUAACUAUAACGGUCCUAAGGUAGCGAAAUUCCUUGUCGGGUAAGUUCCGACCCG